AAAGUUUUUAUUAUUAAAAUAAAUAAAUAAAUAAUCAAAUUAGUAAUGUAACAAUAUUCAACUCAAAACCUAAAGAAUACUUUAGUUGUCAUUUUGAAUUGCUCAGUUUCCUCUUUUAUUGCCGAGUUCAGUUGCAUCAUUGACUCUCUCUCUCUCUCUCAAAUCUCUAUUCACACCCUCUUUGUUUCAUUGAAAUGUAUAUGGAUGGCCAUAGGAGUUGGACUCUUCAUUGAUUCAGAUCCAUU
Molecule: long non-coding RNA, 245 nt
Filed under: Lathyrus oleraceus (garden pea)
Lineage: Eukaryota; Viridiplantae; Streptophyta; Magnoliopsida; Fabales; Fabaceae
Description: Pisum sativum (pea) long non-coding RNA (PSAT_LNC022565)
Source: RNAcentral